RNAcentral lists this ribosomal RNA (406 nucleotides) under uncultured bacterium. RNAcentral's name for it is "partial 16S ribosomal RNA". It matches the Rfam family "Bacterial small subunit ribosomal RNA", at positions 28 to 526 of the family's 1533-position model. The record is from RNAcentral.
GACGAACGCUGGCGGCGUGCCUAAUACAUGCAAGUCGAGCGAAGCGGCGGACGGGUGAGUAACACGUGAUUAACCUGCCUUAGACAUUGGGAUAGCCUCGGGAAACCGAGAUUAAUACCAAAUGGUCUAAGAUGGACUCGCGUCCCAUUAGCUAGUUGGUGGGUAACGGCCCACCAAGGCGACGAUGGGUAGCCGGACUGAGAGGGUGAACGGCCACAUUGGAACUGAGAAACGGUCCAAACUCUACGGGAGGGAGGAGUGGGGAAUAUUGCAAAAUGGAGGGAAUGCUGAUGCAGCGACGCCGCGUGAACGAAGAAGGCGUGCGAGUCGUAAAGUUCUUUUAUAUGGGAAGCGGUACCAUAAGAAAAAGCCCCGGCUAACUACGUGCCAGCAGCCGCGGUAAUUC